This 6255-nucleotide long non-coding RNA is filed under the name Sus scrofa (pig). Its description in RNAcentral is "lncRNA (ENSSSCG00000053445.1)". Lineage: Eukaryota; Metazoa; Chordata; Mammalia; Artiodactyla; Suidae. The record is from RNAcentral.
UGAGAGAGUUGUGUUUCUUAACGUGCCUCGAGCAACCAGAAAAGAGAACUCUUCAGAAAUAGCAUCUCAAAAUAGUCAGAGCUUAGGAACAAGGGUAAGAAUGAGAGACUAACAGUUAACGUGAUUGUGUUACAUGGUAGGAAGGUGGUUAUUAUUGGAAGACCCUGGUAUACACACAUGCUAAGCUCUUAUUUGAGAAAUAUUCAGCAUGCAUAUAUUUUAACUCAUUAAUGUAUGCUCAAGCUAUGGAAGGAUAAACAAUUUUUUUAUGUUUUACAAAUAAAGAUUCUGUAGUAAGAAACAUUGAACAUAUAGGUCAAGCUCACACAGAGACUUAGAAGAAAAUUCUGUAUUAAAAUAUUCUGAGGUACUGGUUUAACUACUAAAAUUGCACUGCCUAUACUUUAUUAACUUCUAUUAUAUUUUUCUGAAAGGGGUCAAAUCUUGUAUAUAAUCUAUAUAUUAUAUAAUGUUAAUACUUUAAACUCCAGCAUUACCAAUAACCCCCCUACCCUCAAUGUAACCAACAUAGGUCAAAAGACAAUUAAGAUUAGUCGAUGGUAGGUUGGCAGAACCCAUAAUUCUCUCUCCUGAGUACUAGAAAGUUAAUUGGAUCACACGGCUGCAUUUAUCAGAGGCUUACAGCACAAAACACAAAGCACACUUGCAAAUGGGGAGGUUUCCCAUUUCUCUUCCUCUGUGCUAGCUUUAGAAAUCUGAUCCCAAAAGUUGCAGGCUAAUAAUAGGUAUGAUUAAGUCCCUACAAUUGCCCCCCAGACACUUUGCUGGAUGUUGGGGAUACAAAGAUAAUUAAGACAUAGGUUCUACCUUUGAUAAAGAGAAGCAGAGGCAAACAAACAAGCAAACAAACAAAAAAACAACCCCCCCCAAAAAAAAAACAAAAAAAAAAAACAUGAUAUCAUUGACUGGUAAGUCCUGUCAUAGAAGAGAGGUUUUAAUCAGAGCCCAGGGUGGGCUACAAUUCCAAACCUAAAGAGAGAGAUGGGGGACGCAAAGGAAGACUUCUUCACAGAGGAGAAUCUUCUCCCCAAAAUUAGUAACUGUUGUCACAGGUGUAGCAGCAAAUAGGAGGUGAGGAAGUGAAGAAGAGAUUAAAGGACCUUCAGUCAAGUAGCUUCUCCAUGAAAGGACAGGGAGAGAGAACAGGAGAAGGUAGAGGAAUGAGGAGGGUGGAUUUUUUUUCAAUAUAGCAGAUACUUGAGUAUAUUCAUAUUCUGAGAGGAUGAAAUCAAUAGAGAGGGAAAGUUUGAAGACGGAGGAGAGGGAGGAAAGCAGUGGAACAAACAGACCUAGAGGAUAUUGAGGAGGGAGAAUUCCCAGAACAAGAGGAAGAAUUAGCCUCUGACAUGACUGACAACCCCAACUCCCAAGGCCAAACAUGGAAAAAUAAGUUGCAGCUCUGAUCACACAUACCUGCCAAAUAGAAUAUAGACUGAAAAAUCCCUUUGUGGGAGUUAUUUCAUACCACUGUUAUUAAUGUAACCUGGAAAAUAGAGUCUGUGGAAAGGUAUCUUCGUAAGUUGCUUGCUCUACAACUGUGUCUAAAUAAUGCUACUAUCACCACUGGAAUAAAGAAAAUAAUCACUGUUGGCUGUGGAUUUAGAUUUAUUGAUAUUCUCAGAUAAUAUUCAUGCAGGCACCACAGGCUUCAAGCUUCUACAUUGGGUGCUUAAAAAUAGUUUAAGGGAAAAAAAAACAACACCCAUAUUAUAUACCCAUUCCAGCAAUCACAGGCAAUUACUAGAGACACACAUAGAACAAAAAGGAAGUUUAAUACGAGAAGACAGACACACACCUUUUAAGGAGGGAUAAUGUCACAGUGUUCAGAAUGUUAUCCCCUAGCUGUGAAAUGUAUUCUAAGAAAAACAUCUGAAUUUAUUCAAACUCAGAAUGUGUAGCUUAUUUUAUGAAAUGCCAGUUUGCUGAAUGAGGAGAGGAGAUAUAAUUUCCUUUAAAACAGCAUGCACCAUAUGAGAGCUAGAUUACAAACUGUGUAUCUAAACCUUUCAUUUUUAGGUUUGGAAAAUUAACCCUGUGUGGGACAGGCACAGUGUUAACCCUUGCAGGCACAAGAAUGGGCAAAUGCUGGGUCCUCAAGAAACUUACCGCUUGGGGCAGAGUUUCCUAUAUUGUAUUACAUGGAAUAAUGAAACAUUGCUGUCCUCUAAAAUGUUGAUAAGCAUUUGAUCAGAAAAAAUAUUUUAUGGUCCAGUACAACAUUCCCUAAGGAAUUUAUUUAAAUAAAUUAUUUAAUUUGCUGCAGAACUUUCCAAAGUUUUUAUUAUGAAACUAGUCACAGUGAAUCAUGAAGGUUUCCUUCACAAUAUACCUCUGGAUUUAUUGUACAUGGAAUUUUUUUCCCAUACAACUACAAGCAAUAUCUUGCAAAAUAUGGAGAUCCUUGCCGAUAUCCCAGCCCUAUAUUAGCUCCUUACGGGGGUGCUGGCUUUGACAAUUUUUGUCCUCAGAAUAUAAUUAUAUCAUAUGGUUGAAAUGAAUAACUCACAAAGUGGCCAUUAUUCUUUCAACCACAGGAGAUCAGUGUAAUAAAAUGGGAUAGACCAGUGUCGAAUGAAAUUUUCUAAAAUAAAUAUUAAGUCCAGAUAAUUCAGGUCAUUGUUAAAAUUUUUUUUUAAUUCACGACUGAUUUUGAACUUAAUCCCAAUUUUGACUUGAUACAAGAAAAGAUAAUGUUUUGCUUUGACUUUUUGAUCAAGGACCACAGAUGAAUGAGGUCUAGUGAGGUUGAAAGAAAAUGUAGCCCAAAAUAGUAGCAAUUAGUAUCUGAUUGAAGUCCUAAAAAAGACUGCUACCCUUCUUGUUCUAACUCGAUUCCUCCCUGAGUCCCCAGUAAAUUUACACACCUGGCUUCCAAAUAAAGUUGGAUAAGGAAACAUUUUAAGGACAGAUAUUCAUGACCUAGAUUUCAUUUUUUCUUUUUGUAUUCCUGAUCUUCAAGUUUCCAUGUUUAGCAGUUAAAUUAAAUUUAAAAAGGAAAUUUUAAUAACCCGCAUGGGAAAAGAAUCUGAAAAAGAAUGGAUAUAUGUAUAUGUGUAACUGACUCACUUUGCUGUACACCUGAAACUAACACAACAUUAUAAGUCAACUAUACUCCAAUAAUUUUUUAAAUCAAAUCAUAAAUACUAUACACCAGAUUAAUCAGUUAAAUGCCACUCAAAAUAUUAAAAUUUGUCUCCGAUGGUUUUUCCUUUUUCUUCUAACAGUGUAUGCCCAUUAAAACUCAGGAACUGUCCUACCAGAACAAACCAAUGGCCCACUCAGUCUAGAAUCCUGCUUCCAACAGCAGUUAACAGUGAAUGCUUCAGAGGAAGAUGGAAACAUUUGAUAAUGAUCUCUAUCCAGUGGAAAAACCUCUGCCUUCUGCAGAAUGAAUACUUACUGACAUCAGUGAAAUGUGGAAUGAAUCUAAUUUUAAGCAAGUAGCCCCAAGUCUUUAGUUGAAACCCUAUAUUAUUUUGAAAUGCAUUUUUGUUCAAGUCAGUACAGAAUCAUUGGUGCAAACCUGAACCUAAAAUGAACCAAGCUAUUAACCAAAAGCUAAGAGAUGUGGAUUUACCAAUUCUUUUUUAGAAACUGUCUACCCUCUUUUAGGACAUUUGGUGGCAGUUACUCUGUCUCACUCAUCUCUGCAUCUUCAUCUCUUAGCACAGUUCCACAGUCAGGUAGUAUUUGUAGAAAUGCAUCAAAUACGAUUUUCUCUUAGAAAUAGAAGCAUCCACUAAUCUAGGUCUUUGUGUCAUAUAUGCAUGUAUAAAUGUGCAUGUAUACAAAGUCAAUAUAUGUGUGUAAACAUGCAGACUUUAUAUAUACACAUAAAUGUAUAAACACAUUCAUACCCACAAUGUUUUAGUAUCUUUAACAUCAGCCUCUGGCCUAAACAUAAAGUUAUUCAUGAAUUCUACAACUUCAUUAUAAGUUGAGGGAUUUGUAAACAGAGGGAAAGAAAAGGAAAAGUUGUUUCAAUUCAUAAGUGUAGAGUUCAGAGCAUUAUAGUUCAAAGAAGGUGUGAUAGAGCUCUUUGAUUUCCACCAUGAAAUGUGUUCAUAGUCUUGUACAUCCCUGGGAUAAGACAAUCCAAUUAAUUCAAGACCUAUGCAUUGGAUCUGACAGAUCCAGUGGUCUUUUGGGGAGAAAAAUGUUGAAAAUGUCAACUCCAUAAAAUGGUAAAACCUGAUUUCUCUCUAUUAAAGGUACCACAAACCAUUUAUUGAUUUUUUUUACAAAAAAGGAAAAAUAAGAAUCAUGUACCAAUUGAAUAGGAAGUCAGACAAUCCAAUUACAGUUAUGAAACUGAAGCAUUGGUUCUGACAGGACCGCUGAUUGCAAACAACUACCAGAAAAUGCCAGAAAAUAGUUGCCCACCCACAUACACAUAGACUCAAAGACACGUCUCCUGAAGCAGGAAAGGAGCUAAAAUGAAUAGUCAUUGAAGGCCAAAGGCCAGUGUUUAUUACCUACUUGUUGUAGUCAUAUUGAACUGUAUUAUGUAUCUGAGAGUUCACCAGUGGUCAGUGGUCGCUGAGGGAAUUUUGUUUCAAUUAUGCUCUACUGUUGAAUGAUCUUACCAUCCAAAGUCUGCACAUAAAAUGAAAUUAUUAUUUAUUGCACUGGAUAAAAACUGACCUCCUUCAGCUCAGCAGCACAGUCUUCUCUGUGGCUUAAACUUUAUCCAUCAUCAUCCAAUAUUUAUUGAUUGUCCAUGUGAUUCAUAACAUUAUAUAAAGAUGCUUCAAGAAAAGCUUGUUGAAAUGAAUCAUGGCAAGUUCUGAUCCCCAGACUCAGAGGAGAGUGGGAGCUUUGUUUAGCAGAUAACCUAGUUGUGAUGCUAUACAGGAAAAGCAGGUUAUUUCUGAAAGAUAUAUGUGACAAAAUGUACCAGCCCUCCUUUUCACUGUCACGUGCAAUUGAGAGAGCAGAACUCUAUCAGAGAACUCUGAUAGUCCAGGUAGGGAGGUGAGAACCUCUUAGAGUGAUGCAUUCUCUGGAUGGCAGGAGAACAUCCCACCAUCGUGAACAGUUGACAUCUGAAGCCAUUCUUAGAGAUGGUGACCUUUGCUUUCUAAUAGCAACACAUGCUCUCCUCUUCUAAAAAGUGAGUUAGUAGCUAUUGUAGCAUCAGAAGAGGAACCUCUCUUAUACUGCUUACAUGUUGGGUUGCUUAAUCUCCAUUUGCACAUAAGAAGUCAAGCCUGCUUCCUAUUUCCUGUCUCCCUGUAGCAGAAAGUUGAUAAGGGUCCUCUGAUAAAAAACAGACAAAUGAAAAAGUCAGUUUCUAACCCAUCUGAGUUCAGGGCUCUGUUUUCCCAUUAAUACAAAGAAGCUGCUGCUGCCAUGGCAUAUGGAUAGGGAGAGGACUCAUUCAGAGUUCAGCAAGGUCCUUCAGAUCCAGAGCCCAUUGUGUCUCCAUAAAAUUAAGUGGAAUCUCCUGCUCCCAUUGGGGUCACUACCUUCAUGGGCUAUUUCCACACUCCUUAGCUGUAGUGUCUAAGGAACUGUGAAGCAUUAACUCUUUGACCCAGUUCCUAGUGCUGCCUUUGUAGACAUCUAAGAUAAUGUGGGAACUUAGAAAAUAAAAACCAUGCUUCCUCAAUCUUUUAACCCAUGUUCAGAGAUACUUUAUCCAUUUAUUGUACCAUAACUUUUCCUUGACCCGUUGUGACCAAUACCAGCUGCCUGGUGGGAUUUUUAUCAUUGUUGGCACUCUACACUAAUCACUAACUGUUAGUCCCAUCUCACAAAGUUCAAUGACAGAGUCCAAGAUAUAUAUUCUUGUAGAGUAGAAAGCUAAGAAUCUGGUCAGCACCGGUCAUCAUCUCCAUUGCAAGAAUUCAAUAAAAAAUACUUAGGAGGUAAGAUAAUAAUCCAUGAUCUAGGUGUCAUUCAAGAUAUAAGAGAAUUACAGAGAUUAAAAUUAUAUAUUCCCCAGAGGAUUUUUAAUAACCCUUGUGACUGCCUAAGGAUAUAUAUCUUCUUCAGCUCAAACUUGGGAAAUAAGGAGAAGGUCCUAAGGAGAGAGCUCAUUCAACUCCUUAUUCUGAGAGAACCUGUUGCCAUAACAACUGGCUUUAUUUCUUUAUUCAUGUUCCCAUGUUAUCUUUUCUUGUCACUCUUAGAAUGUCCCUUGCCAUAACAGCAAAUAACAUGCAAAAGACAGCCAGAUCUUGUAGGUAAGUCACAGCAUCUUUUGCUUUGUAAGCCAAUGUGUUAUUCUUU